AGAGUUUGAUCCUGGCUCAGAUUGAACGCUGGCGGCAGGCCUAACACAUGCAAGUCGAGCGGAUGAAGGGAGCUUGCUCCUGGAUUCAGCGGCGGACGGGUGAGUAAUGCCUAGGAAUCUGCCUGGUAGUGGGGGAUAACGUCCGGAAACGGGCGCUAAUACCGCAUACGUCCUGAGGGAGAAAGUGGGGGAUCUUCGGACCUCACGCUAUCAGAUGAGCCUAGGUCGGAUUAGCUAGUUGGUGGGGUAAAGGCCUACCAAGGCGGCGAUCCGUAACUGGUCUGAGAGGAUGAUCAGUCACACUGGAACUGAGACACGGUCCAGACUCCUACGGGAGGCAGCAGUGGGGAAUAUUGGACAAUGGGCGAAAGCCUGAUCCAGCCAUGGCCGCGUGUGUGAAGAAGGUCUUCGGAUUGUAAAGCACUUUAAGUUGGGAGGAAGGGCAGUAAGUUAAUACCUUGCUGUUUUGACGUUACCAACAGAAUAAGCACCGGCUAACUUCGUGCCAGCAGCCGCGGUAAUACGAAGGGUGCAAGCGUUAAUCGGAAUUACUGGGCGUAAAGCGCGCGUAGGUGGUUCAGCAAGUUGGAUGUGAAAUCCCCGGGCUCAACCUGGGAACUGCAUCCAAAACUACUGAGCUAGAGUACGGUAGAGGGUGGUGGAAUUUCCUGUGUAGCGGUGAAAUGCGUAGAUAUAGGAAGGAACACCAGUGGCGAAGGCGACCACCUGGACUGAUACUGACACUGAGGUGCGAAAGC
Molecule: ribosomal RNA, 758 nt
Filed under: uncultured bacterium
Lineage: Bacteria
Description: bacterial SSU rRNA
Rfam family: Bacterial small subunit ribosomal RNA
Source: RNAcentral